This 1292-nucleotide ribosomal RNA is filed under the name human oral metagenome. RNAcentral describes it as "bacterial LSU rRNA". It matches the Rfam family "Bacterial large subunit ribosomal RNA", at positions 1103 to 2317 of the family's 2925-position model. The record is from RNAcentral.
GGCUUAGAAGCAGCCAUUCAUUUAAAGAGUGCGUAACAGCUCACUAGUCAAGAGAUCUUGCGUGGAAAAUGUAACGGGGCUAAAACGUUAUACCGAAGAUAUGGAUGUCAGAUUUAUCUGGCGUGGUAGAGGAGCGUUCCUAUCAGCGGUGAAGUCGAAUCGGAAGGUUCGGUGGAGCGGUAGGAAGUGAGAAUGCUGGAAUGAGUAACCAUAAGAGAGGUGAGAAUCCUCUCGGCCGUAAGAGCAAGGUUUCCUGAGCCAUGGUAAUCAUCUCAGGGUUAGUCGGGCCUAAGCCGAGGCGCAGAGCGUAGGCGAUGGACAUCAGGUUAAUAUUCCUGAACCGGUUAAGUUUUGUACACUGUUCACGGGGAAGUAAUCGAAGCGGAUUCAUGGUUUAUCCGUCCAACCGAGCGGGAACGCAAAGGGAGUGAAAGUGAUUCUUCGGAGUCGCGAUUUUGGUGAAAGCCCUGGCUAGAAAAGCAGGUGUACGCGUGGACUUAGCCGCCCGUACCGCAAACCAACACAGGUGCUCGAGUCGAGUAGACUCAGGCUUACGAGCGAACCUUCGCUAAGGAACUCGGCAAUACAGCGACCGUAACUUCGGGAUAAGGUCUGCCCCCACUUCGGUGGAUAUCAGCCGCGUUCACUCAGUGAAUAAUAGGUUAAAGAGUACAUUUUUAAUCACAAAACGAAUUUUCUGAGACACGAGCAAACGAAUUGUUCUUUGAACGCGAAUCUCUGACAUCUAACGAUGUGGGGGCCGCAGCAAAAGAGCCCACGGAACUGUUUAUCAAAAACACAGGUCUCUGCUAACACGAAAGUGGAUGUAUAGGGGCUGACUCCUGCCCAAUGCUGGAAGGUUAAGGGGAGCGCUUCACGGUGCGAACUGAAGCCCUAGUCAAUGGCGGCGGUAACUAUAACCGUCCUAAGGUAGCGAAAUUCCUUGUCAGGUAAGUUCUGACCCGCACGAAUGGAGUAAUCAUGUGGGCACUGUCUCAGCGAAGGACUCGGUGAAAGUGCAUUGGCGGUAAAGAUGCCGUCUGUCCGUACCAGGACGAAAAGACCCCAUGGAGCUUUACUACAGCUUUACAUUGAAUACGGUUUCAACAUGUGUAGCAUAGGUGGGAGACGUUGAAGCAGAUACGCCAGUAUUUGUGGAGUCACCAAGUGAAAUACCACCCUUGUUGUGAUUGUGUUCUCACGCUGACCGUUAUCCGGUUAGCGGACCGUGUAUGGUGGGUAGUUUAACUGGGGCGGUUGCCUCCUAAAGAGUAGCGGAGGCGUUCAAAGGU